GAUGAACGCUGGCGGCGUGCCUAAUACAUGCAAGUCGAACGAGUUCUCGUUGAUGAUCGGUGCUUGCACCGAGAUUCAACAUGGAACGAGUGGCGGACGGGUGAGUAACACGUGGGUAACCUGCCCUUAAGUGGGGGAUAACAUUUGGAAACAGAUGCUAAUACCGCAUAGAUCCAAGAACCGCAUGGUUCUUGGCUGAAAGAUGGCGUAAGCUAUCGCUUUUGGAUGGACCCGCGGCGUAUUAGCUAGUUGGUGAGGUAAUGGCUCACCAAGGCGAUGAUACGUAGCCGAACUGAGAGGUUGAUCGGCCACAUUGGGACUGAGACACGGCCCAAACUCCUACGGGAGGCAGCAGUAGGGAAUCUUCCACAAUGGACGCAAGUCUGAUGGAGCAACGCCGCGUGAGUGAAGAAGGCUUUCGGGUCGUAAAACUCUGUUGUUGGAGAAGAAUGGUCGGCAGAGUAACUGUUGUCGGCGUGACGGUAUCCAACCAGAAAGCCACGGCUAACUACGUGCCAGCAGCCGCGGUAAUACGUAGGUGGCAAGCGUUAUCCGGAUUUAUUGGGCGUAAAGCGAGCGCAGGCGGUUUUUUAAGUCUGAUGUGAAAGCCCUCGGCUUAACCGAGGAAGCGCAUCGGAAACUGGGAAACUUGAGUGCAGAAGAGGACAGUGGAACUCCAUGUGUAGCGGUGAAAUGCGUAGAUAUAUGGAAGAACACCAGUGGCGAAGGCGGCUGUCUGGUCUGUAACUGACGCUGAGGCUCGAAAGCAUGGGUAGCGAACAGGAUUAGAUACCCUGGUAGUCCAUGCCGUAAACGAUGAAUGCUAGGUGUUGGAGGGUUUCCGCCCUUCAGUGCCGCAGCUAACGCAUUAAGCAUUCCGCCUGGGGAGUACGACCGCAAGGUUGAAACUCAAAGGAAUUGACGGGGGCCCGCACAAGCGGUGGAGCAUGUGGUUUAAUUCGAAGCAACGCGAAGAACCUUACCAGGUCUUGACAUCUUUUGAUCACCUGAGAGAUCAGGUUUCCCCUUCGGGGGCAAAAUGACAGGUGGUGCAUGGUUGUCGUCAGCUCGUGUCGUGAGAUGUUGGGUUAAGUCCCGCAACGAGCGCAACCCUUAUGACUAGUUGCCAGCAUUUAGUUGGGCACUCUAGUAAGACUGCCGGUGACAAACCGGAGGAAGGUGGGGAUGACGUCAAAUCAUCAUGCCCCUUAUGACCUGGGCUACACACGUGCUACAAUGGAUGGUACAACGAGUUGCGAGACCGCGAGGUCAAGCUAAUCUCUUAAAGCCAUUCUCAGUUCGGACUGUAGGCUGCAACUCGCCUACACGAAGUCGGAAUCGCUAGUAAUCGCGGAUCAGCACGCCGCGGUGAAUACGUUCCCGGGCCUUGUACGCACCGCCCGUCACACCAUGAGAGUUUGUAACACCCGAAGCCGGUGGCGUAACCCUUUUAGGGAGCGAGCCGUCUAAGGUGGGACAAAUGAUUAGGGUGAAG
RNAcentral lists this ribosomal RNA (1495 nucleotides) under Lacticaseibacillus paracasei. Its description in RNAcentral is "bacterial SSU rRNA". It matches the Rfam family "Bacterial small subunit ribosomal RNA". Lineage: Bacteria; Bacillati; Bacillota; Bacilli; Lactobacillales; Lactobacillaceae. The record is from RNAcentral.